UCCAAUGUACAUCCAGGACUGAAAACUGCUGUGUAGCCUCUGGAAUCUUCCCUCUUGAUGGAAGGUAGCAUUUACGGCAGGACAUGGGCCAGUUUUUUGAAGUGUUCGCGUUUCCUCAGGGAUUGGUGAUGAACACAGAACUGAAUAGCAUAUGAUAAAAGAAGGAAUGCCAUUUCUUAGAUUAUCAUAACAAAGACUGUGGCUUCUGUCUUGGGUGUUCGUUCUUUAAUUUGAGUGAAGCCAGGCACCAUUUGUGAGUGACCCUAAUGAGAGGCCCACUUCAGGAGAAAUUGAUGUCUCUGGCUAGUAGCAGUGUGGAUCUGAACCCUGCUGAUAGAUAUGCUGGUGAGCCUGAAAGUGGAUCGUUUUCCAGCAAAGCCUGGAGAUGACUGCAGCCCUGGAUCACCAUUGUUUAACUUUUAAGAGACCCUGAGUCGAGCCUAAAUUCCCAACUUGCAGAAAUGAGAGGACCUGACUGUGUACGCUACUGGAUCAGAAGCAGAUGCUGGGUCAUCUGAAGUGCAGUGCAGGAAGAAUGAAUGAAACUCGCCGCAGUGCCUGACCAUGCACUAAAGACUAUGAGAUAGCCAUCACUGUAAUUAUUGUAAAGCCUUCCCUCCCAUUUCUUACAAUAGUAGUUGAUUAAAGGA
Molecule: non-coding RNA, 650 nt
Organism: Sus scrofa (pig)
Lineage: Eukaryota; Metazoa; Chordata; Mammalia; Artiodactyla; Suidae
Source: RefSeq, a predicted model, not a curated record